GAUGAACGCUGGCGGCGUGCCUAAUACAUGCAAGUCGAGCGAACGGACGAGACGCUUGCUUCUCUGAUGUUAGCGGCGGACGGGUGUGUAACACGUGUAUAACCUACCUAUCAGACUGGGAUAACUUCGGGACACCGGAGCUAAUCCCGUAUAAUCUUUUGCACCGCAUGGUUCAAAAGUGAAAGACGGUCUUUCUGUCACUUAUCGAUGCAUCCGCGCUGCAUUAGCUAGUUGGUAAGGUAACGGCUUGCCAAGGCAACGAUGCAUAGCCGACGUGAGAGGGUGAUCGCCGACCCUGGAACUGAGACACGGUCAAGGGGCCUAAGAGAGGCCGCAGUAGGGAAUCUGCCGCAAUGGGCGAAAGCAUGGCGGAGCGGCGGCGAGUGAGUGAUGGAGAUGUUCGGAGCGUAAAGAUCUGUUAUGAGGGAAAAACAGAUGUGUAAGGAACUGAGCACAGCGUGACGGUAACUAAUCAGAAAGCAACGGCUAACUACGUG
This 497-nucleotide ribosomal RNA is filed under the name uncultured bacterium. RNAcentral's name for it is "partial 16S ribosomal RNA". It matches the Rfam family "Bacterial small subunit ribosomal RNA", at positions 28 to 507 of the family's 1533-position model. The record is from RNAcentral.